AGAGUUUGAUCCUUGGCUCAGGACGAACGCUGGCGGCGUGCCUAAUACAUGCAAGUCGAACGCUUCUUUCCUCCCGAGUGCUUGCACUCAAUUGGAAAGAGGAGUGGCGGACGGGUGAGUAACACGUGGGUAACCUACCCAUCAGAGGGGGAUAACACUUGGAAACAGGUGCUAAUACCGCAUAACAGUUUAUGCCGCAUGGCAUAAGAGUGAAAGGCGCUUUCGGGUGUCGCUGAUGGAUGGACCCGCGGUGCAUUAGCUAGUUGGUGAGGUAACGGCUCACCAAGGCCACGAUGCAUAGCCGACCUGAGAGGGUGAUCGGCCACACUGGGACUGAGACACGGCCCAGACUCCUACGGGAGGCAGCAGUAGGGAAUCUUCGGCAAUGGACGAAAGUCUGACCGAGCAACGCCGCGUGAGUGAAGAAGGUUUUCGGAUCGUAAAACUCUGUUGUUAGAGAAGAACAAGGACGUUAGUAACUGAACGUCCCCUGACGGUAUCUAACCAGAAAGCCACGGCUAACUACGUGCCAGCAGCCGCGGUAAUACGUAGGUGGCAAGCGUUGUCCGGAUUUAUUGGGCGUAAAGCGAGCGCAGGCGGUUUCUUAAGUCUGAUGUGAAAGCCCCCGGCUCAACCGGGGAGGGUCAUUGGAAACUGGGGGACUUGAGUGCAGAAGAGGAGAGUGGAAUUCCAUGUUGUAGCGGUGAAAUGCGUAGAUUAUAUGGAGGAACACCAGUGGCGACGCGGCUCUCUGGUCUGUAACUGACGCUGAGCUCGAAAGCGUGGGGAGCAACAGAUUAGAUACCCUGGUAGU
RNAcentral lists this ribosomal RNA (814 nucleotides) under uncultured bacterium. RNAcentral's name for it is "bacterial SSU rRNA". It matches the Rfam family "Bacterial small subunit ribosomal RNA", at positions 8 to 794 of the family's 1533-position model. The record is from RNAcentral.